Long non-coding RNA from Pistacia vera, 214 nucleotides. RefSeq lists it as uncharacterized. The record is from RefSeq and is a predicted model, not a curated record. NCBI's taxonomy places the organism in Eukaryota, Viridiplantae, Streptophyta, Magnoliopsida, Sapindales, Anacardiaceae. The transcript is spliced from 4 exons.
AUUCCUUCUGACAUUGGAGAAUACCAGGAGUUAAUGACUCUGGACUUGAGUUUCAACAAUUUAACUGGUGAAAUCCCGAGUGCUUUGUUCAAUAUCAGUUCUCUUACUCACUUGUUUCUUGGAAACAAUAGUCUGUCGGGAAACAUUCCGAGCCAAAAAAGUGAAAAGCUUCAACCAUAGAUUUAUCAUACAUUAUCUAUCAGGAACUUUCCGU